UUCUUAUUCAAAACCACCCUUCUGAUUUCUGUAAAAGAUAGACAGGAACAUGGGCAGGAUGUUUAUACAGCAAAAUGUAAACAUUUUCCCUGGCCUCCUUUAAAUAAAAAAUCAAGCAAAAGCCCCGUUAGAUCAGCUAAUACUCAAUCCGAUGCGAUAUGCCCGUCUGUUCUGGCGUCCUGUGUAGAUGUUGAACGUUUUUUACAUGAAUAUUGUUUGUGUAAUGCAGUCAUAAUAUUUACGCAGGGACGCAGGAGGAGUGAGGUGGAAGCUCUGCCGAGCUCUGAGCAGAGAAACUCGGACGGGGACUUGAGAUCGACUCCUGCAGGCAUCGUAUGAUCCAGGAAUGAAGGAACAUUCAGUCCCACACAGUGAGUGGGAGCCUGCUUGGUGCCCCACCCUGCAGCCUACACCUCUCAGGGCCGCUCCACCAUGGUCUGUCUGAUGCAGGGAGAGACAUCAAUAAUAAGAGCUGAAGCAGAAACCACAAUGGAGAACACAAAAGAGAGAGGGAGGGCACACACAGGCCACAACCGGCUCUGCUGCAGGCUGGAGUGGGCAGCCGUGCGGCUUUGGCCACAGGAAGCUGUGAAUUCUUUGGAGAAUGGAAGAUGUCUUAUGGGGAGACAUACCGGCCUCCACCCACCCACUCACCACCCCAAAAUGACACCUGACCCCUUCAUGUGUUUAUAUCAGACCAUGGAAGUGAGAAAUAGUGAUGAGUCACUCUGGCUGUGUGUUUACACUCCAGAGUCACGCAAGGAAGGAAAUCAGCCAUGGUCUGCUAAAAGUGGCGAGGUGAGAGAGAAUAGCUGCAGUCCCCCAGCGCUGCAGUGAUUUACCUCUCAGAGCCACAAUAUAUUUCACGUCAUCUCUGCUAAGAGGACUUUAGACCAACAGAAAAAAGAAACGUUAGCAGCGCUGUGGACUUGGCUCUGAUUGCCGCAAGGGCGAAAAGAAGAGGGAGAUACUGAGGCUAGGUGUUUGUGCAUACAUAUACUAUGUGUAUUCAGUCUUUUUAGAGACACAGUGUCAAUCACGUACAGUUGCUUUCUAAUCAAGGCAGGUUAAUGUCAUUAAAUGGAAACCUGUAUCUCCACACAUCACAGAAAAACAGGGGUUUCAUCUUGAUGACCAUACAUUUCACUAUGUAACUUGUAUUAAAAUGUUUUCAGAAACCUUUUUUUGUUAGCUACAAGGAGAGGAUCCAAUUGCUCAAUUUAAUGUAAAACUUAAGUAUUUAAAAUUGGAGUUACCAUUUUUUUACCCAACAGAAAUUAUAUGUAUCCUACCUGUUCAGACUUUCUAUAUUUUAAUUUAAAUACUUGAUAUAAUUCACAACCAGAUUUAAAAGAAAACACAAAAAAACUUUGUCGUUAUGAUUUCCUGCAAAAAACACACCAAGUAAUCCAACAAUUGAAGCCCUUAACCUAACAUGAUUAUGCAGCGCUUGGUCUUUUGUGUGACAUUGUGUGGGUCACAUAUAUCCCAGCUUAUUUUUACAUAAUUAUCAGAGGAUGUUUUGAUUUAAAAAAGUGAAUUUUAUGAAAGCAAGCUGGCAAUAAUCACCCCUAAUGAUUCAAAUGAAAUCUUUGUUUGUGCAAAAGAUUUCAUAAAAAUCCCAAAUCAUACGUAAUUUUAAUGGCUUGGACUGAAACAAAACAGACUUAUUAGAUUUUGAACUGAAAUCAUAUUAAAGAGAUAGACGUGACAUUUUUAGCAUCUUCACCAUUUUAUAUUGUCAAUAACCGAUGUGCCUUACAGGUAAGGCAUACCUUAUGGAUUCAAAAAUACAAUAUUAUAAAAAAAAUGUUCCCAUUGUAUUAUAAAAUGUGUUAAUGAUAUACGUGUGUUCAUAGAGUGCUGUAUGAACAACACUGGGCACGCAUUGGUUUGUGCUCUAAAGGACUUUAUGUGCAAUGUAUUGUAAGGUGUGUUUACUGUGGCUACAACGAGUGUUUCAACCAUAGUGUCAUUGUUUUUCUCCACACUGAGCGACUUUAGAUUUUAGAUUGCACAACUGAUGUUUCCAGGGACUGUAGUUACUGCAGUUGUGCUCUGUAAAUAAAAAUGACACUUCAUUUCUUUCCAUCA
Molecule: long non-coding RNA, 2094 nt
Organism: Etheostoma cragini (Arkansas darter)
Lineage: Eukaryota; Metazoa; Chordata; Actinopteri; Perciformes; Percidae
Exons: 3
Source: RefSeq, a predicted model, not a curated record